This 226-nucleotide ribosomal RNA is filed under the name uncultured bacterium. Its description in RNAcentral is "partial 16S ribosomal RNA". It matches the Rfam family "Bacterial small subunit ribosomal RNA", at positions 524 to 748 of the family's 1533-position model. The record is from RNAcentral.
UACGUAGGGGUCGAGCGUUGUCCGGAGUUACUGGGCGUAAAGCGCGCGCAGGCGGCGCGAUAAGACCGGCGUGAAAGCCCCCGGCUCAACCGGGGAGGGUCGUUGGGUGACUGUCGCGCUUGGAAGGCAGCAGGGGUGAGUGGAAUUCCCGGUGUAGUGGUGAAAUGCGUAGAGAGCGGGAGGAACACCCGUGGCGAAGGCGGCUCACUGGGCUGACCUGACGCUG